GACGAACGCUGGCGGCGUGCCUAAUACAUGCAAGUCGAGCGAAGUUUUUCUGGUGCUUGCACUAGAAAAACUUAGCGGCGAACGGGUGAGUAACACGUAAAGAACCUGCCUCAUAGACUGGGACAACUAUUGGAAACGAUAGCUAAUACCGGAUAACAGCAUUAACUGCAUGGUUGAUGUUUAAAAGUUGGUUUUGCUAACACUAUGAGAUGGCUUUGCGGUGCAUUAGCUAGUUGGUGGGGUAAAGGCCUACCAAGGCGACGAUGCAUAGCCGACCUGAGAGGGUGAUCGGCCACACUGGGACUGAGACACGGCCCAGACUCCUACGGGAGGCAGCAGUAGGGAAUCUUCCGCAAUGGGCGAAAGCCUGACGGAGCAACGCCGCGUGAGUGAAGAAGGAUUUCGGUUUGUAAAGCUCUGUUGUUAGGGAAGAAUGAUUGUGUAGUAACUAUACACAGUAGAGACGGUACCUAACCAGAAAGCCACGGCUAACUACGUG
This 499-nucleotide ribosomal RNA is filed under the name uncultured bacterium. Its description in RNAcentral is "partial 16S ribosomal RNA". It matches the Rfam family "Bacterial small subunit ribosomal RNA", at positions 28 to 507 of the family's 1533-position model. The record is from RNAcentral.